CGGCCCAUCAGCUAGUUGGUGAGGUAACGGCUCACCAAGGCGACGACGGGUAGGGGGCCUGAGAGGGUGGCCCCCCCACACCGGAACUGCGACACGGUCCAG
This 102-nucleotide ribosomal RNA is filed under the name uncultured bacterium. Its description in RNAcentral is "partial 16S ribosomal RNA". It matches the Rfam family "Bacterial small subunit ribosomal RNA", at positions 234 to 334 of the family's 1533-position model. The record is from RNAcentral.